CGGAAUUUCAGUUGGUAUAUAC
This 22-nucleotide microRNA is filed under the name Drosophila mojavensis. RNAcentral's name for it is "Dmo-Mir-216-P1_3p* (star (passenger))". The record is from RNAcentral. Lineage: Eukaryota; Metazoa; Arthropoda; Insecta; Diptera; Drosophilidae.